Molecule: transfer RNA, 79 nt
Filed under: Hypera postica (alfalfa weevil)
Lineage: Eukaryota; Metazoa; Arthropoda; Insecta; Coleoptera; Curculionidae
Description: tRNA-Ser
Source: RNAcentral
AGUUAAUGAACUUGUAUAAGUAUAUACUUUGAAAGUAUAAAAAAGAAAUUUUAAUUUUCUAUUAACUUUAGUACUAAAU